CGCUGGGUCGUUGCAGCUGUGACUGCACCUGCAUAAAAAAGGGCUGCAAACUCGGGUGGCGGUCUGCCUAAAGCAAGCUAUCAUGAAGGCUUGUGCACUGGCUGCCUUUAUCGUAGGUUCAAUUGUGGCAGGAGGAGCUCGACAAUCCAUGGGGGACUUCUAUGGCAUAGCUAUGGCACCAAUUGUUGACGCCACUAUUACCCGGCCAGACUUGGUGACAGGUGGUACCAAAUACGCAAUAUGCAAUCAAUGCAGCUGCAAGAUCGCUUGGGAACUAACAAAACAUCGAAAAGAUGGUUGCUGCAAAAAAACGUUUGAAUUCACCUGUACGUGCAACAAUUAUCGGUGCGACAAAAAGGAGACGCAGCUCUGCAUGUAUAAGUUGGCUUCCAACAUGUAAGGGAUGUUUCUAGCCUAAAUGUUCCACUGGGGGAUCACUAAAUAAAGCUUGGUUUACCUACUGUU
Long non-coding RNA from Dermacentor albipictus, 465 nucleotides. RefSeq lists it as uncharacterized. Lineage: Eukaryota; Metazoa; Arthropoda; Arachnida; Ixodida; Ixodidae. The record is from RefSeq and is a predicted model, not a curated record.